RNAcentral lists this ribosomal RNA (899 nucleotides) under uncultured bacterium. RNAcentral's name for it is "bacterial SSU rRNA". It matches the Rfam family "Bacterial small subunit ribosomal RNA", at positions 8 to 916 of the family's 1533-position model. The record is from RNAcentral.
AGAGUUUGAUCAUGGCUCAGGACGAACGCUGGCGGCGUGCUUAACACAUGCAAGUCAAGGGGGCCCAGCAAUGGGCAACCGGCGAACGGGUGCGUAACACGUGAGCAACCUACCGAGAUAUGGGGGAUAGCCGGCCUAACGGCCGAGUAAUACCGCAUACGCUCUCGAUGAGGCAUUUCAUUGAGAGGAAACCUACGGGGUAUUUCGAGGGGCUCGCGGCCUAUCAGCUAGUUGGCGAGGUAACGGCUCACCAAGGCAACGACGGGUAGCUGGUCUGAGAGGAUGGCCAGCCACAUUGGGACUGAGAUACGGCCCAGACUCCUACGGGAGGCAGCAGUGGGGAAUCCUGCGCAAUGGCCUAACGGCUGACGCAGCGACGCCGCGUGUGGGAUGAAGCUCCUCGGAGUGUAAACCACUGUUGCCCGGGACGAAUAGCUCGAUUAAUCGAGCCUGACAGUACCGGGUGAGGAAGCACCGGCUAACUCCGUGCCAGCAGCCGCGGUAAUACGGGGGGUGCGAGCGUUGUCCGGAAUCACUGGGCGUAAAGGGCGCGUAGGUGGUUUGAUAAGGGUGUGGUGAAAGUCCGGGGCUCAACCCCGGAUCUGCCGUGCCGACUGUCAAACUCGAGGACUGUAGAGGCAGACGGAAUUCCGGGUGUAGCGGUGGAAUGCGUAGAGAUCCGGAGGAAGACCGGUGGCGAAGGCGGUCUGCUGGGCAGUUUCUGACACUGAUGCGCGACAGCGUGGGGAGCAAACAGGAUUAGAUACCCUGGUAGUCCACGCCGUAAACGAUGGGUACUAGGUGCCUGGGGGAGCGACCCUCUGGGUGCCGGCGCUAACGCAGGAAGUACCCCGCCUGGGGAGUACGACCGCAAGGCUGAAACUCAAAGGAAUUGACGG